GAUGAACGCUGGCGGCGUGCCUAAUACAUGCAAGUAGAACGCUGAAGGAGGAGCUUGCUCUUCUGGAUGAGUUGCGAACGGGUGAGUAACGCGUAGGUAACCUGCCUGGUAGCGGGGGAUAACUAUUGGAAACGAUAGCUAAUACCGCAUGACAACAGUUAUUGCAUGAUAACUGUUUAAAAGGGGCAACUGCUCCACUACCAGAUGGACCUGCGUUGUAUUAGCUAGUUGGUGAGGUAACGGCUCACCAAGGCGACGAUACAUAGCCGACCUGAGAGGGGGAUCGGCCACACUGGGACUGUGACCCGGCCCAGUCUCCUACGGGUGGCGGCAGUAGGGCAUCUUCGGCAAGGGACGGAAGUCUGACCGAGCAGCGCCGCGUGAGUGAAGAAGGUUUUCGGAUCGUAAAGCUCUGUUGUAAGGGAAGAACGAGUGUGAGAGUGGAAAGUUCACACUGUGACGGUAUCUUACCAGAAAGGGCCGGCUAACUACGUG
RNAcentral lists this ribosomal RNA (495 nucleotides) under uncultured bacterium. RNAcentral's name for it is "partial 16S ribosomal RNA". It matches the Rfam family "Bacterial small subunit ribosomal RNA", at positions 28 to 507 of the family's 1533-position model. The record is from RNAcentral.